RNAcentral lists this ribosomal RNA (326 nucleotides) under uncultured Geobacillus sp. RNAcentral describes it as "bacterial SSU rRNA". It matches the Rfam family "Bacterial small subunit ribosomal RNA", at positions 1055 to 1382 of the family's 1533-position model. Lineage: Bacteria; Bacillati; Bacillota; Bacilli; Caryophanales; Anoxybacillaceae. The record is from RNAcentral.
UCAGCUCGUGUCGUGAGAUGUUGGGUUAAGUCCCGCAACGAGCGCAACCCUCGCCUCUAGUUGCCAGCAUCGGUUGGGCACUCUAGAGGGACUGCCGGCGACAAGUCGGAGGAAGGUGGGGAUGACGUCAAAUCAUCAUGCCCCUUAUGACCUGGGCUACACACGUGCUACAAUGGGCGGUACAAAGGGCUGCGAACCCGCGAGGGGGAGCGAAUCCCAAAAAGCCGCUCUCAGUUCGGAUUGCAGGCUGCAACUCGCCUGCAUGAAGCCGGAAUCGCUAGUAAUCGCGGAUCAGCAUGCCGCGGUCGAAUACGUUCCCGGGCCUU